This 347-nucleotide long non-coding RNA is filed under the name Gossypium barbadense (sea-island cotton). RNAcentral's name for it is "long non-coding RNA (GBAR_LNC016433)". Lineage: Eukaryota; Viridiplantae; Streptophyta; Magnoliopsida; Malvales; Malvaceae. The record is from RNAcentral.
AAAUGCUGCUGCCAACACCCCGGAAUUAGACUAUUGAACACAAAAAAUAUCUUAAAAUGAUAUCCAACAACUUACUGAAUUUGCACAAGUGCUGCUUAACGCUACGAAAUCAAGAGGAAAGAAUGGUUUAGGGGAAACAAGGGAAUUUCUACAAUAGUAGAGGAAAGAAAAGAAAAGAUAAUCGAGUAAGAAACAAAGAAGAAGAAAAAAUUGACAGAGAUGGGGGAGAGCAAACGUCAGAAAGAUGGAGAGAAAAACGACUCUUUUUUUUCGAAAAAGGAAAAAGUGAUCAGAUUUUGGAUAUUCUCCCCCAUAAUCCCUUAAUUCACACCUAAAAUCGCUCCCUC